UACGAAGGGGCUAGCGUUGUUCGGAUUUACUGGGCGUAAAGCGCACGUAGGCGGACUUUUAAGUCAGGGGUGAAAUCCCAGAGCUCAACUCUGGAACUGCCUUUGAUACUGGAAGUCUUGAGUAUGGUAGAGGUGAGUGGAAUUCCGAGUGUAGAGGUGAAAUUCGUAGAUAUUCGGAGGAACACCAGUGGCGAAGGCGGCUCACUGGACCAUUACUGACGCUGAGGUGCGAAAGCGUGGGGAGCAAACAGGAUUAGAUACCCCCGUAGUCCCU
This 274-nucleotide ribosomal RNA is filed under the name uncultured prokaryote. RNAcentral describes it as "partial 16S ribosomal RNA". It matches the Rfam family "Bacterial small subunit ribosomal RNA", at positions 524 to 798 of the family's 1533-position model. The record is from RNAcentral.